RNAcentral lists this ribosomal RNA (395 nucleotides) under uncultured soil bacterium. Its description in RNAcentral is "bacterial SSU rRNA". It matches the Rfam family "Bacterial small subunit ribosomal RNA", at positions 26 to 424 of the family's 1533-position model. The record is from RNAcentral.
AGGACGAACGCUGGCGGCGUGCUUAACACAUGCAAGUCGAGCGGUAAGGCCUUUCGGGGUACACGAGCGGCGAACGGGUGAGUAACACGUGGGUGAUCUGCCCUGCACUCUGGGAUAAGCCUGGGAAACUGGGUCUAAUACCGGAUAUGACCUGCUCUCGCAGUGGGGGGUGGGUGGAAAGAUUUUAUCGGUGCAGGAUGGGCCCGCGGCCUAUCAGCUUGGUUGGUGGGUAAUGGCCUACCAAGGCGACGACGGGUAGCCGACCUGAGGAGGGUGACCGGCCACACUGGGACUGAGACACGGCCCAGACUCCUACGGGAGCAGCAGUGGGAAUAUGCACAAUGGGCGAAAGCCUGAUGCAGCGACGCGCGUGAGGAUGAAGGCCGUUACGGGUU